GCCAUCUUCGGAUUUCGACGUAAUGGAAGAGGAUAAACUCGAUUACAAACAGAGUUGACGACGAGGCGAAGUACUCUGCCUUUCCAGCGUCGUACCAUUGAGGGGCGUUGAUGAUUCCAAUCUUCGUGAAAACCUCCGGUAGAAGCAUUCCGGCGACACCAAGCAUCGCCCACCGCCCAUUCACCAGCUCCGCUUGUACAUACCACCUCAAAUUCUCUGGGUCUUCCGCUAAUCCCAACGGGUCAAAUCCAUUGUCGCCGGGAAGACUGAAUUUCGAUUAAUCAAUUGGAUUAGAGAAAACCCAAAUUUACAAAUUCCCAAAGUAAAUUAGGGAGGUGAAAAUUACCUGCCGUUUAAAUACAUCGGAGAUGGGAGACCAGGCAACCAUUCUCCUUUCUUGGCUUCAACCUUGAAAGAUGAAGACGAAGAAGCAGAAACUGGCUUAACCGAGAGCACACGUUGGAGUUUACCGGAAGAACCGGAAAGGAAUCUUGAUCGGGCGGCACAUG
Molecule: long non-coding RNA, 509 nt
Filed under: Cucumis sativus (cucumber)
Lineage: Eukaryota; Viridiplantae; Streptophyta; Magnoliopsida; Cucurbitales; Cucurbitaceae
Description: long non-coding RNA (CSAT_LNC000039)
Source: RNAcentral